This 931-nucleotide long non-coding RNA is filed under the name Pan troglodytes (chimpanzee). RNAcentral's name for it is "long non-coding RNA NONPTRT001012". Lineage: Eukaryota; Metazoa; Chordata; Mammalia; Primates; Hominidae. The record is from RNAcentral.
GGAAGUGGAGUCAGACAGGAGCCCUACCGAGGCUCCAGGUCAGUGGGCCGGGUUGGGCUGGACUGGAGGAGGGAGUGGUGCCAGAGGAUCCUCCCCAGGGCAGAUGGCUAUUUUUGGUGUCGACUGCUCGGCUUAUAGCCACCCCUCUUCCUGUCUUCCCAAUCCAAAGAGGCUCUGGGUCCAGCAGGGGCAGGAGCAGUAGGAGAAAUCUUUAGCCCUGCAGCAGGGCAGCUCUGGGGUCAGUCUCUAGCUCAGGAACCAGCCCGUUCCCCCCUACAGUGAGGCCUGACCCUCAGUACCUUGGGUCUGAGGGGAAGGGGGGCCUUACUUCCAAUCCUUGAAAUAGCAGUGCGGCAAAGAGAGAUUAUUAGGAUGGCCAGACAGACAGACACAGCCAGACCCACCAUAAUAGUCACACACAUUAACUUGCUGAUGUGGGCUGCGGGCACAGCCUCACGCCAACACCAUCACACUCACAGCCAUUCAUUCUCAUAGCCAUGCCCACAGCUACACGUGGGCCACAGACGGCUGAACCACACGGACAUACCAGCACAGGCACAAUGUCACCUGUCCCAUCUGGGAGAACAGGAACCCCUUCUCUCUCACGGUUGUACUCCCAGAAAGGAACUCAAUUCCCAGCACAUUGCAGAUGCGCACUAAUAUUUGGCUGCUGACACCACUCGAGGAAACCAGCCAGCCUUGGGGGCUCUGACGCUGGAUGCAGCCCUCCCAGGAAAUAGCUCCACUGGCUGCAGUAACUGGAGGCUCCUGAGCCACAUUUCAGCCUGCAGUGGGUGGUGGGUGGGCCCCAGCCCAACUGCUGCCCUGCCCCAGGAAGAAGCAGGCCCGUCAAAAUGUCUGACCCCAUCCGUCCCCCUAUCCCCUCCCCUGCCCCAGUCUGUCCUCAGUCCUGAUCCCCCUGCCCGCCCCA